This 570-nucleotide ribosomal RNA is filed under the name fungal sp. ARIZ L504. RNAcentral describes it as "eukaryotic LSU rRNA". The stretch from base 211 to 364 matches the Rfam family "5.8S ribosomal RNA". Lineage: Eukaryota; Fungi. The record is from RNAcentral.
CAUUUAGAGGAAGUAAAAGUCGUAACAAGGUCUCCGUUGGUGAACCAGCGGAGGGAUCAUUACCGAGUUUACAACUCCCAAACCCCUGUGAACAUACCAAUUGUUGCCUCGGCGGAUCAGCCCGCUCCCGGUAAAACGGGACGGCCCGCCAGAGGACCCCUAAACUCUGUUUCUAUAUGUAACUUCUGAGUAAAACCAUAAAUAAAUCAAAACUUUCAACAACGGAUCUCUUGGUUCUGGCAUCGAUGAAGAACGCAGCAAAAUGCGAUAAGUAAUGUGAAUUGCAGAAUUCAGUGAAUCAUCGAAUCUUUGAACGCACAUUGCGCCCGCCAGUAUUCUGGCGGGCAUGCCUGUUCGAGCGUCAUUUCAACCCUCAAGCCCUCGGGUUUGGUGUUGGGGAUCGGCGAGCCCUUGCGGCAAGCCGGCCCCGAAAUCUAGUGGCGGUCUCGCUGCAGCUUCCAUUGCGUAGUAGUAAAACCCUCGCAACUGGUACGCGGCGCGGCCAAGCCGUUAAACCCCCAACUUCUGAAUGUUGACCUCGGAUCAGGUAGGAAUACCCGCUGAACUUAA